RNAcentral lists this ribosomal RNA (496 nucleotides) under uncultured bacterium. Its description in RNAcentral is "bacterial SSU rRNA". It matches the Rfam family "Bacterial small subunit ribosomal RNA", at positions 29 to 518 of the family's 1533-position model. The record is from RNAcentral.
AUGAACGCUAGCGACAGGCCUAACACAUGCAAGUCGAGGGGCGAGCACAAGGAGCAAUCUGAGGUGGCGACCGGCGCACGGGUGAGUAACACGUAUGCAACCUGCCUGUAAGCGGGGAAUAACCCGUUGAAAGACGGACUAAUACCGCAUAAUACUAAAUUACUGCAUGGUAAUUUAUUUAAACAUUUAUGGCUUACAGAUGGGCAUGCGCAUGAUUAGCUAGUUGGAGAGGUAACGGCUCCCCAAGGCACGAUCAUUAGGGGUUCUGAGAGGAAGGUCCCCCACACUGGUACUGAGACACGGACCAGACUCCUACGGGAGGCAGCAGUGAGGAAUAUUGGUCAAUGGACGAGAGUCUGAACCAGCCAAGUCGCGUGCAGGAAGAAUGUCCUUAAUGGAUUGUAAACUGCUUUUGCAGGGGAAUAAAGUGCAUCACGUGUGAUGUUUUGUAUGUACUCUGCGAAUAAGGAUCGGCUAACUCCGUGCCAGCCGCAGC